This 578-nucleotide ribosomal RNA is filed under the name uncultured bacterium. RNAcentral's name for it is "bacterial SSU rRNA". It matches the Rfam family "Bacterial small subunit ribosomal RNA", at positions 338 to 916 of the family's 1533-position model. The record is from RNAcentral.
CCUACGGGAGGCAGCAGUAAGGAAUAUUGGUCAAUGGACGCAAGUCUGAACCAGCCAUGCCGCGUGGAGGAUGAAGGUCUCUGGAUUGUAAACUUCUUUUCUCUGGGACGAAACCCCCGAUUUCCAUCGGGCCUGACGGUACCAGAGGAAUAAGCACCGGCUAACUCCGUGCCAGCAGCCGCGGUAAUACGGAGGGUGCAAGCGUUAUCCGGAUUCACUGGGUUUAAAGGGUGCGUAGGCGGGUUUGUAAGUCAGUGGUGAAAUCCCCGAGCUUAACUUGGGAACUGCCAUUGAUACUGCAAGUCUUGAAUUUUCUGGAGGUAAGCGGAAUAUGUCAUGUAGCGGUGAAAUGCUUAGAUAUGACAUAGAACACCCAUUGCGAAGGCAGCUUACUACGGGAAUAUUGACGCUGAGGCACGAAAGCGUGGGGAUCAAACAGGAUUAGAUACCCUGGUAGUCCACGCCCUAAACGAUGAUCACUCGACAUUAGCGAUAUUACGGUUAGUGUCUAAGCGAAAGCAUUAAGUAAUCCACCUGGGAAGUACGACCGCAAGGUUGAAACUCAAAUGAAUUGACGG